Molecule: ribosomal RNA, 1492 nt
Filed under: metagenome
Description: bacterial SSU rRNA
Rfam family: Bacterial small subunit ribosomal RNA
Source: RNAcentral
AGAGUUUGAUCCUGGCUCAGAUUGAACGCUGGUGGCAUGCCUUACACAUGCAAGUCGAACGGUAACGCGGGGGCAACCCUGGCGACGAGUGGCGAACGGGUGAGUAAUACAUCGGAACAUAUCCAGUGGCGGGGAUAACCUAUCGAAAGAUGGACUAAUACCGCAUACGAUCUACGGAUGAAAGCAGGGGACCGCAAGGCCUUGCACUAUUGGAGUGGCCGAUGUCGGAUUAGCUAGUUGGUGGGGUAAAAGCUUACCAAGGCGACGAUCCGUAGCUGGUCUGAGAGGACGAUCAGCCACACUGGAACUGAGACACGGUCCAGACUCCUACGGGAGGCAGCAGUGGGGAAUUUUGGACAAUGGGCGCAAGCCUGAUCCAGCCAUGCCGCGUGAGUGAAGAAGGCCUUCGGGUUGUAAAGCUCUUUCGGUGAAGACGAAACGGUUCAUGCUAAUAACGUGAACUAAUGACGGUACUCACAGAAGAAGCACCGGCUAACUACGUGCCAGCAGCCGCGGUAAUACGUAGGGUGCAGGCGUUAAUCGGAAUUACUGGGCGUAAAGCGUGCGCAGGCGGUUUGCUAAGACAGGUGUGAAAUCCCCGGGCUUAACCUGGGAAUUGCGCUUGUAACUGGCAAGCUAGAGUGUGGCAGAGGGGGGUGGAAUUCCACGUGUAGCAGUGAAAUGCGUAGAUAUGUGGAGGAACACCGAUGGCGAAGGCAGCCCCCUGGGUUAACACUGACGCUCAUGCACGAAAGCGUGGGGAGCAAACAGGAUUAGAUACCCUGGUAGUCCACGCCCUAAACUAUGUCAACUAGUUGUCGGGGAAGAAAUUCCUUGGUAACGAAGCUAACGCGUGAAGUUGACCGCCUGGGGAGUACGGCCGCAAGGUUAAAACUCAAAGGAAUUGACGGGGACCCGCACAAGCGGUGGAUUAUGUGGAUUAAUUCGAUGCAACGCGAAAAACCUUACCUACCCUUGACAUGCUAGGAAGCCCGCAGAGAUGUGGGUGUGCCCGAAAGGGAACCUAGACACAGGUGCUGCAUGGCUGUCGUCAGCUCGUGUCGUGAGAUGUUGGGUUAAGUCCCGCAACGAGCGCAACCCUUGCCAUUAGUUGCUACAUUCAGUUGGGCACUCUAAUGGGACCGCCGGUGACAAACCGGAGGAAGGUGGGGAUGACGUCAAGUCCUCAUGGCCCUUAUGGGUAGGGCUUCACACGUAAUACAAUGGUCGGUACAGAGGGCUGCCAACCCGCAAGGGGGAGCUAAUCCCAGAAAGCCGAUCGUAGUCCGGAUUGUAGUCUGCAACUCGACUGCAUGAAGCCGGAAUCGCUAGUAAUCGCGGAUCAGCAUGUCGCGGUGAAUACGUUCCCGGGUCUUGUACACACCGCCCGUCACACCAUGGGAGUGGGUUCCACCAGAAGUAGUUAGCCUAACCGCAAGGAGGGCGAUUACCACGGUGAGAUUCAUGACUGGGGUGAAGUCGUAACAAGGUA